This 506-nucleotide ribosomal RNA is filed under the name uncultured bacterium. Its description in RNAcentral is "partial 16S ribosomal RNA". It matches the Rfam family "Bacterial small subunit ribosomal RNA", at positions 30 to 523 of the family's 1533-position model. The record is from RNAcentral.
AUUGAACGCUGGCGGCAUGCCUUACACAUGCAAGUCGAACGGCAGCAUGGAAGAGCUUGCUCUUCUGAUGGCGAGUGGCGAACGGGUGAGUAAAGCAUCGGAACGUACCGUGUAGUGGGGGAUAACGUAGCGAAAGUUACGCCAAUACCGCAUACGCACUGAGGUGGAAAGCAGGGGAUCGCAAGACCUUGCGCUAUACGAGCGGCCGAUGUCAGAUUAGCUAGUUGGUAGGGUAAAGGCCUACCAAGGCGACGAUCUGUAGCGGGUCUGAGAGGAUGAUCCGCCACACUGGGAGUGAGACACGGCCCAGACUCCGACGGGAGGCAGCAGUGGGGAAUUUUGGACAAUGGGCGAAAGCCUGAUCCAGCCAUGCCGCGUGAGUGAAGAAGGCCUUCGGGUUGUAAAGCACUUUAGGUGGGGAAGAAAGGUAAUGAGUGAAUAACUGAUUGCUUUGACGGUACCCGCAGAAUAAGCACCGGCUAACUCUGUGCCAGCCGCCGCAGUAA